RNAcentral lists this long non-coding RNA (1688 nucleotides) under Homo sapiens (human). Its description in RNAcentral is "ZNF582 divergent transcript, transcript variant 2 (ZNF582-DT)". The record is from RNAcentral. Lineage: Eukaryota; Metazoa; Chordata; Mammalia; Primates; Hominidae.
GGUGAGCCGGACGCAGGCGUGCCUGCGCAGUGCGCGGAGGAGUGCUGUUCGUGUGUUCGAGUCCCUGGGUUGCUUCCUGGGGUCUGUGGUGCUGGGUGUGCUAUCUGCGUGUGAUUCUCUAGCGAGAGAUUGUGGGCGAGUGACCGAGUGGGCAAGGGGCCGUCACUGUGUGUGCGUGAUUUUGACAGUGUGUGGUGGUAGCUUCUGACUCCGCGUGGGUCGUUGAAUGUAUGACUGGGACCGUUUAGCGGUGGAUACACAACUGUGUGCGGCUGUGGAAGAUUGCCUCAUCCGUUACGUUCCCAUUUCCGUGGAACAACAGUUUUACCAGAAGGUUUCGAAGGAACCUUAAAGUUUGGAAGCGUAAGAGUUUAUCUGAGAUGGGAGCCUCACUGUAUUGCCCAGGCUGGUCUUGAACUCCGGAGCUCAAGUGAUCGUCUUGCUUCAGCCUUGCAAAAUGAUGGUGAAGCUGCAUCAUUGUCUGGGGUAAAUACCUGAGGUUCGUUGUCUCACGCCAAGGGAAUCAAGGACGUGGACACACAAGAAGUGAGUUUAAGAGCGGAGGUUUAAUAGGCGAAAGAGAAAAGAGAAUAGCUCUAGCUCCUGCAGAGAGAAAAGGGCUCCCAAGUAGGACUUCCAGUCCGUGGCGAAGGGCACGGGGUUUAUAGACUGGCUUCAGGAGGUGGUGUCUGAUUUACGUAGGCCCCAAAGAUUGGUUGGACCAGGUGUGCCAAUCAGAAGCUGGCUGCCCCACCCUAAUCUUUUAUUAUGCAGAUGGAGUCCCUGUCUGACCGGGCCAUGUUGUAUGUUCCUUGCUGUACACGUGGUUGACAAAGAAAAGGGAAGAUGGAGCUGCGAUGUUGGACAUGCCUGGCCCCCAGGUAGCUUUUUCCUAUUGGCACAGCUGCUGGCAUUCACCCGUGCAAACUUCCAGCUUGCUUAUCUAUGUCUGCAGCUUGAUUUUUCAGGCUGCUGUUUGUUAGAAAAGAAAUGACUUGGGGGCUGCUUUUCAUUAAAAGGAAAACCUUACCGGGGAUUUCCUUACCCUCACUAUCUGCCUAAAUAAUUUCUUUUUAACUCCUAUGUCACUUGGGAUUACAGGCAUGAGCCGCUGUGCCUGCUAGAGGGUUUUUUAUCUUUAUUCCUCAAGAUUUUGCAUUUAGAUAAUUAUGUUAAACUUGGGUGUGCUAGGUAGACAUACGUCUGCUGAUUACCUGUUUAGGAAGAAUGUGGAUUCGUACGUAGGGAAAAGGAGUCAGGCUGGUGGGACCAGGGGAAAGCAAAGAGAUAAAGCAAAUAAGCUAUAGAUCUGCAUUUUCUUCAUGGUCCAGGAUAUAUAAACAAAAAAAGGAAGCAGAUAAGCUAUAGGCUUGCUUUUCUUUAUGACCCAGGACAUACAGCCCUGCCGAGCAAAUAAUGAACGUAACUCACAAACUUCCUGCUUAUCAUCAAACGCACGCAUCCACUUAUCAUCAAACACCUCGGGUGACAGAAGAAUGCAGGUCAGCUCCCUGCUGCCUUGGCAUUAUCAAUCAGCCCAGGAACCAUCCUAUAAAAUCUCCAGCAAGCCUUUGUUUCCUUGCAGUCAGCUCCUCUUCCACUGAUUCUGCCUGUUGCUCCCUGAUAACAUACUUUGAUACUGUCUUUAAUAAAUCUGCCUUUCUUCACCCACAAAAAAAAAAAAAAAA